AGGACGAGCGCUGGCGGCGUGCUUAACACAUGCAAGUCGAGCGGUAAGGCCCUUCGGGGUACACGAGCGGCGAACGGGUGAGUAACACGUGAGCAAUCUGCCCUCCACAUCGGGAUAACCCCCGGAAACGGGAGCUAAUACCGGAUACGACCACUUCAGGCAUCUGAUGGUGGUGGAAAGUUCCGGCGGUGGAGGAUGAGCUCGCGGCCUAUCAGCUUGUUGGUGGGGUAAUGGCCCACCAAGGCUUCGACGGGUAGCCGGCCUGAGAGGGUGACCGGCCACGACUGGGACUGAGACACGGCCCAGACUCCUACGGGAGGCAGCAGUGGGGAAUAUUGGACAAUGGGCGAAAGCCUGAUCCAGCAACGCCGCGUGAGGGAUGACGGCCUUCGGUUGUAAACCUCUUUCAGCGCAGACGAAGCGAAAGUGACGGUAUGCGCAGAAGAAGCACCGGCCAACUACGUGCCAGCAGCCGC
RNAcentral lists this ribosomal RNA (476 nucleotides) under uncultured bacterium. RNAcentral describes it as "SSU rRNA". It matches the Rfam family "Bacterial small subunit ribosomal RNA", at positions 26 to 518 of the family's 1533-position model. The record is from RNAcentral.